RNAcentral lists this ribosomal RNA (306 nucleotides) under uncultured bacterium. RNAcentral describes it as "partial 16S ribosomal RNA". It matches the Rfam family "Bacterial small subunit ribosomal RNA", at positions 505 to 808 of the family's 1533-position model. The record is from RNAcentral.
GACAGCAGCAGCCGCGGUAAUACGUAGGUCCCGAGCGUUGUCCGGAUUCAUUGGGCGUAAAGCGAGCGCAGGCGGUUAGAUAAGUCUGAAGUUAAAGGCUGUGGCUUAACCAUAGUACGCUUUGGAAACUGUUUAACUUGAGUGCAAGAGGGGAGAGUGGAAUUCCAUGUGUAGCGGUGAAAUGCGUAGAUAUAUGGAGGAACACCGGUGGCGAAAGCGGCUCUCUGGCUUGUAACUGACGCUGAGGCUCGAAAGCGUGGGGAGCAAACAGGAUUAGAUACCCCAGUAGUCCCUGUCUCUUAUACA